AAUCCAAUCAAGCCUGGCUUGGUGUUGGGCGUCGGGACUCCCCCGCGCCCCAAUUUCACCGGCUGGCCGUCGCCCGUCUUUGCGUUUCGACACAGUUCUCGCUAGCGAUCGGAGCGGACCACGCCGUUAGAACCCAUGAAUUUCAAUUGGAAUUCGAUUA
Molecule: unclassified non-coding RNA, 160 nt
Filed under: uncultured Capnodiales
Lineage: Eukaryota; Fungi; Ascomycota; Dothideomycetes; Capnodiales
Description: sequence contains ITS2
Source: RNAcentral